CUUGGGGGGAGUGGUCCCUCAGCCCAGAUUGCAAGAGGGCGCAGGCCAGGCCGAGGGACCCCACUGGUGCACA
Molecule: microRNA precursor, 73 nt
Filed under: Myotis lucifugus (little brown bat)
Lineage: Eukaryota; Metazoa; Chordata; Mammalia; Chiroptera; Vespertilionidae
Description: mir-9193 microRNA precursor family
Rfam family: mir-9193 microRNA precursor family
Source: Rfam by way of RNAcentral